This is an RNA transcript of Brassica napus (rape), 2611 nucleotides long. It is a transcript of the gene named short-chain dehydrogenase RED1, with no coding region annotated. The transcript has 4 exons. NCBI's taxonomy places the organism in Eukaryota, Viridiplantae, Streptophyta, Magnoliopsida, Brassicales, Brassicaceae. The record is from RefSeq and is a predicted model, not a curated record.
GAUAUGAUUUUUGGAGUUUGAUAGAAGAUGCUAUAAUAAACGAUGAAAUAUAAAUGGUCUAAUCCAAAAUAAGACAUUUUAUGUUAAGUUGUGAGUUUCCCUUAUGCCUUAUCUUUUGCUAAAUAAAAGUAUGCGAAUUUUCUCAUUUAUCAACUUACUAGGUGUAAAGUUGUGAUGCUUUUUAGAUGAAUUUCAAUGUAACACUUUCUUGAAAUUUUUUAGAUUUGUUAAGUAGUCAUGUAGUAUUAGCCAUUGAGUAUAUUGUUGUUAUAUUUUUGAAGUGAGACUCAUAAGAGUUUUGUUACCCAUUUGAUUAUCGACGUGUUCUAUUCAUUAUAACUUAUACUAAUUCUUACUAGAAUUUAUAUGGAUUAGAGGAUAGUCAUGAUAAUAACCCACAGAUAAGUAUUAUAUACUUUUGUAGUAAUGAAAGUAAAGAAAAAGUAGCAAAGUUGAGAUGCCUUUGCGACAUUACCCCAAGAGGCCAAGACAAAUGGGAACUAUCAUCAUUUUAAGAUUACUUCCUUUUCUUCUCUUUCCUUUUGGUUCCUUUGACUACAUUUUAUUUAUCUUCUUCUAUUACUUUUUGUUUUCUCCUUCUGAUCUAUUGAAUAAGUUGAAUAUUUUUCAAAAAAUAAAAUACAAUUUAUUUCUAUCCAGAAUUUUUUGGGGACUUUUGUUAGUAUUAAUAUUGGGCUUAUAUCUGAAACUAGAAAAUAAUAAUCGGGCUCAAUAAAAUAAGCAGAACAUAAUAUCAGGGCCCAAAAACUAAACAUUUCUUAGCAGAAAUAUAUUUUACUUAGGCUAACCGCGAUCCAUUAACUUUUAACUAGAGAAAAAGCUCGGCAACUUGUACUAUACUACUUUUUGGAUUAACGCGAUCCAAUAAUUCACAUCAUGACAAGAAAAAGGAUCACAUUACGGAUGGGCACCGACAGUAAUUAUCUUGUUUUAUGAAACAAAUUUAAUAGUAUAUAAAUGUAACCAUCUCAAAUAUUUGAGAACCCCACACACAUUUUAAAUAAUAGAUUAUUUAGAUUUUAAUUAUUUUGAGUUACCACCCAUAUCCCCGGGCUCAUAUCCUAUGCUUUCUAUAACCCGUGAGAACUACCACUAAUAAUGCUCGAAUCACCAAGCAGCCUCCACGAAUAUUCGAAAACCCCACAGGCCCACACACAGAUUUCUCAAAUGAUAUACUAUCGUGAAAUUUUCAAUUAUUUAAGAUACCCACACAAUAAAAUAUGUGUGAAAUACUAUCACUAAUGGUGCUAAUGAUGCUCCAAAUGCAUUAUGCACCCCAUGCAUUCUCUAAAGCCAUGCAUAUUCAAUUGAAUUCAAAGUACCUUUUUUUUUAAUUCACAGUACUUGAUUUUAAUUCUUGAAAAUGGCACAUGGAUUCUGCCGAGAAAAAACAAAAUGACAAAUCAAUCAGUACAGUGAGGUGGCUAUUUAUAUAUAAAGGUUGUCUAGGGUUUGAAUACUGAUAUAUUUUGUAACGUACUAAUCGAAACUUUUUCCGUGAACCGUUUUGAGUCAUUGCAGGAAUAAAAUGGCCACUCCACUAGCUUUGUUCAAAGGACACGUUCAGACAAGACCGCAGUUAGUUCCUCGUCUUAACCCUCGUAAAGUGUCCAUUGUUGCUCAAUCUCGAGGGCUCCGUAUGGAAAGCGACAACGCGGGUCCGGUGGUUCUGAUAACGGGAUGCUCUCACGGAGGGAUCGGUCACGCGCUGGCACGUGAGUUCGCUGAGAACGGUUGUCGUGUGGUGGCAACGAGUCGAUCACGGAGUAAGAUGGCGGAUCUAGAGCAAGAUCCGAGAAUGUUCGUGCAUGAGCUUGAUGUUCGGUCGGAGCAGAGCGUGAACAAUGUCAUGUCUAAUGUUAUGGAUAAGUUCGGCCAAGUCGACGUUCUCGUCAACAACGCCGGCAUUCAGUGCGUCGGUCCUAUCGCUGAGAUCCCUAUCUCCACCAUGCAAAACACCUUUGACACCAAUGUUUUCGGUACCGUGAGGAUGACUCAAGCCGUUGUACCUCAUAUGGUGUCUAAGAAAAAGGGAAAGAUUGUCAACGUUGGAAGUAUCUCUGUGAUGUAACCAAGUCCAUGGGCAGGUGUCCAUACAGCGACCAAAGCUGCUAUUCAUGCUCUUACCGAUUCCCUCAGGUUGGAGCUCGACCCCUUUGGCAUUGACGUCAUAGAUGUCGUCCCAGGAGGAAUAAAAUCAAACCUAGCAAACUCAGCUGUAGACGUCUUCAAAAAAAUGCCUGAGCUGAAACUAUACAAGGCUUACGAAGAAGGUAUGAUAGAGAGGCUAUUCUUUUUCCAGAGGAGGAAGCCAACUCCUGCUGAAACAUUCGCUAAAGACAUCGUAGCUGUUGUGCUAAAGAAGAACCCACCGGCUUGGUUCUCGUCAGGCAGAUAUUCCGCCUUCAUGGCAAUAAUGUAUCAUAUGCCCAUUUGGUUCAAAGAUUCCCUCCAGAGGAAGGCUUUAAUGAAAAAGGGCUAAUCAUGUAAAAGCUUCUUCGGAGUCUGAUAAUGUAAUCUUAUGUCUUGCUUGGGGGGGUAUAUGUUUUAUUCAACAAUGAGAUAAUAUAAAAAAAUAUAAGACUGGUCA